GAUGAACGCUAGCGGCAGGCCUAACACAUGCAAGUCGAGGGGCAGCACAGAAACAGCAAUGUUUUGGUGGCGACCGGCGGACGGGUGCGUAACGCGUAUGCAACCUACCUUUAACAGGGGGAUAACGGAGAGAAAUUUCCACUAAUACCCCAUAACAUCGAUCAAGGCAUCUUGAUUGGUUGAAAACUCCGGUGGUUAAAGAUGGGCAUGCGUUGUAUUAGGUAGUUGGUGAGGUAAUGGCUUACCAAGCCUACGAUACAUAGGGGACUGAGAGGUUAGCCCCCCACACUGGUACUGAGACACGGACCAGACUCCUACGGGAGGCAGCAGUGAGGAAUAUUGGUCAAUGGGGGCAAACCUGAACCAGCCAUGCCGCGUGCAGGAAGACGGCUCUAUGAGUUGUAAACUGCUUUUAAACAGGGAUAAAGCACAGUAUGUAUACUGUGUUGAAGGUACUGUAAGAAUAAGGAUCGGCUAACUCCGUGCCAGCCGCCGCGGUAA
RNAcentral lists this ribosomal RNA (501 nucleotides) under uncultured bacterium. Its description in RNAcentral is "partial 16S ribosomal RNA". It matches the Rfam family "Bacterial small subunit ribosomal RNA", at positions 28 to 523 of the family's 1533-position model. The record is from RNAcentral.